Molecule: long non-coding RNA, 878 nt
Organism: Dermochelys coriacea (leatherback sea turtle)
Lineage: Eukaryota; Metazoa; Chordata; Testudines; Dermochelyidae
Exons: 4
Source: RefSeq, a predicted model, not a curated record
GCUCAGGCAAAGAAGAUUGUGAUCUGUGUAGGCUGCAAUACUAUAGCACCUUGGACAGAGCAGUUCAGGCAGAAACCAAGGAGUGAAAAAGGAGCUCUGGAAAGGCUGCUAAGGCGGCCACUCCAUGGUGGAGUGGCCAUGGAGAAGUAGCCCAAGGAAAUGCAGCAGUAGUCGAGGCAAAGGAAUGCAGUAGGCAACUGCAGUUCAGAGGAUCCCUGGCCAGGACCUGGAGCAGUGGGUGAACCCAGAUACCCCACACUCACCACUGGGGAAGUGACUGGACAGCUGACUGCAGAUCCCCCAGAAGGGGGGGAAGCACAGAUGGUGACACAGUUGGAGGGCUGUCCCAUGAAAGGAAACUAUAGUCCUUGGAGUGACGUGGGUCCGAGAGCAGACGAGACGCACCAUCGGGAGAGGGCAUACCGACCUGUGGAGCUAAUCCUCCAGUAGGAGGUGCCACCAUGGAUGGACUAGAUCUGUGGACAUUCUUACUCAAAGAAAAUAAUUUUUCAGGCAUUAUUAAUAAGAACAAGAUCCUGGAAGAGACCGUAGGAACACUGGCCAGACUGAAAGGUUAGAAGAGAGAAAACAAGCUUUCCUUCUUUUUCAACUCCCAAUCAUUUUUUCAGCUUUGAACUAAAUAUCAUUGAAUGGAAAUUGUUAAACUGAAAUGAAGACAAUAUUCUCUCUGCACCUGCAAGAGACUACUGCUGUCAAAAACGGGCUUAGCAUUUCAACAAACUCUGCUGCCAGGUGCUUAGUUAGUGACUUCCACCAGUUUAGAAUUUGACUUUUUUUAAAAAAAAAAGUUAGCAACAAACUUGCUGAAUUGAAUAUUAUAUUUUAUUUAAGAUUAUCUUAACCUUAGUAAAUUUAGG